This 282-nucleotide ribosomal RNA is filed under the name uncultured bacterium. Its description in RNAcentral is "partial 16S ribosomal RNA". It matches the Rfam family "Bacterial small subunit ribosomal RNA", at positions 55 to 339 of the family's 1533-position model. The record is from RNAcentral.
AUGCAAGUCGAACGGCAGCACGGGGGCAACCUUGGUGGCGAGUGGCGAACGGGUGAGUAAUAUAUCGGAACAUGUCCGGAAGUGGGGGAUAACGUACCGAAAGGUACGCUAAUACCGCAUAUGCCCUGAGGGGGAAAGGAGGGGAUCGUAAGACCUUUCGCUUUCGGAGUGGCCGAUAUCGGAUUAGCUAGUUGGUGAGGUAAAGGCUCACCAAGGCGACGAUCCGUAGCUGGUCUGAGAGGACGACCAGCCACACUGGAACUGAGACACGGUCCAGACUCC